RNAcentral lists this transfer RNA (76 nucleotides) under Bacilli bacterium. RNAcentral describes it as "tRNA-Asn". It matches the Rfam family "tRNA". From Rfam's summary of the family: Transfer RNA (tRNA) molecules are approximately 80 nucleotides in length. Their secondary structure includes four short double-helical elements and three loops (D, anti-codon, and T loops). Lineage: Bacteria; Bacillati; Bacillota; Bacilli. The record is from RNAcentral.
UCCACAGUAGCUCAGUCGGUAGAGCAAUCGGCUGUUAACCGAUCGGUCGCAGGUUCGAGUCCUGCCUGUGGAGCCA